This 253-nucleotide ribosomal RNA is filed under the name uncultured bacterium. RNAcentral describes it as "partial 16S ribosomal RNA". It matches the Rfam family "Bacterial small subunit ribosomal RNA", at positions 524 to 776 of the family's 1533-position model. The record is from RNAcentral.
UACGUAGGUGGCGAGCGUUGUCCGGAUUUACUGGGCGUAAAGGGAGCGUAGGCGGACUUUUAAGUGAGAUGUGAAAUACCCGGGCUCAACUUGGGUGCUGCAUUUCAAACUGGAAGUCUAGAGUGCAGGAGAGGAGAAUGGAAUUCCUAGUGUAGCGGUGAAAUGCGUAGAUAUCGUAAGGAAGACCAGUGGCGAAGGCGAGUCUCUGGACAGUUACCGACGCUGAGGCACGAAGGUCAGGGGAGCAAACGGG